This 254-nucleotide ribosomal RNA is filed under the name uncultured bacterium. RNAcentral describes it as "partial 16S ribosomal RNA". It matches the Rfam family "Bacterial small subunit ribosomal RNA", at positions 524 to 776 of the family's 1533-position model. The record is from RNAcentral.
UACGUAGGGUGCAAGCGUUGUCCGGAAUUAUUGGGCGUAAAGAGCUCGUAGGCGGUUUGUCGCGUCUGCUGUGAAAACUGGAGGCUCAACCUCCAGCCUGCAGUGGGUACGGGCAAACUAGAGUGCGGUAGGGGAGAUUGGAAUUCCUGGUGUAGCGGUGGAAUGCGCAGAUAUCAGGAGGAACACCGAUGGCGAAGGCAGAUCUCUGGGCCGUGAACUGACGCUGAGGAGCGAAAGCGUGGGGAGCGAACAGG